GGCCGUGGCUCAGCGGUAGAGCACUCGCCUAGCAUGUGUGAGGCCCUGGGUUCAAUACUCAGUACCA
RNAcentral lists this transfer RNA (67 nucleotides) under Marmota monax (woodchuck). RNAcentral's name for it is "tRNA.Ala". The stretch from base 6 to 62 matches the Rfam family "tRNA", at positions 8 to 63 of the family's 71-position model. Rfam says of the family: Transfer RNA (tRNA) molecules are approximately 80 nucleotides in length. Their secondary structure includes four short double-helical elements and three loops (D, anti-codon, and T loops). Further hydrogen bonds mediate the characteristic L-shaped molecular structure. tRNAs have two regions of fundamental functional importance: the anti-codon, which is responsible for specific mRNA codon recognition, and the 3' end, to which the tRNAs corresponding amino acid is attached (by aminoacyl-tRNA synthetases). tRNAs cope with the degeneracy of the genetic code in two manners: having more than one tRNA (with a specific anti-codon) for a particular amino acid; and 'wobble' base-pairing, i.e. permitting non-standard base-pairing at the 3rd anti-codon position. Lineage: Eukaryota; Metazoa; Chordata; Mammalia; Rodentia; Sciuridae. The record is from RNAcentral.